Molecule: ribosomal RNA, 1346 nt
Filed under: uncultured bacterium
Lineage: Bacteria
Description: partial 16S ribosomal RNA
Rfam family: Bacterial small subunit ribosomal RNA
Source: RNAcentral
GACGAACGCUGGCGGCGUGCUUAACACAUGCAAGUCGAACGGAAAGGCCCUGCUUUUGUGGGGUGCUCGAGUGGCGAACGGGUGAGUAACACGUGAGUAACCUGCCCUUGACUUUGGGAUAACUUCAGGAAACUGGGGCUAAUACCGGAUAGGAGCUCCUGCUGCAUGGUGGGGGUUGGAAAGUUUCGGCGGUUGGGGAUGGACUCGCGGCUUAUCAGCUUGUUGGUGGGGUAGUGGCUUACCAAGGCUUUGACGGGUAGCCGGCCUGAGAGGGUGGCCGGCCACAUUGGGACUGAGAUACGGCCCAGACUCCCACGGGAGGCAGCAGUGGGGAAUAUUGCACAAUGGGCGGAAGCCUGAUGCAGCAACGCCGCGUGCGGGAUGACGGCCUUCGGGUUGUAAACCGCUUUCGCCUGUGACGAAGCGUGAGUGACGGUAAUGGGUAAAGAAGCACCGGCUAACUACGUGCCAGCAGCCGCGGUGAUACGUAGGGUGCGAGCGUUGUCCGGAUUUAUUGGGCGUAAAGGGCUCGUAGGUGGUUGAUCGCGUCGGAAGUGUAAUCUUGGGGCUUAACCCUGAGCGUGCUUUCGAUACGGGUUGACUUGAGGAAGGUAGGGGAGAAUGGAAUUCCUGGUGGAGCGGUGGAAUGCGCAGAUAUCAGGAGGAACACCAGUGGCGAAGGCGGUUCUCUGGGCCUUUCCUGACGCUGAGGAGCGAAAGCGUGGGGAGCGAACAGGCUUAGAUACCCUGGUAGUCCACGCUGUAAACGGUGGGUACUAGGUGUGGGGUCCAUUCCACGGGUUCCGUGCCGUAGCUAACGCUUUAAGUACCCCGCCUGGGGAGUACGGCCGCAAGGCUAAAACUCAAAGGAAUUGACGGGGCCCCGCACAAGCGGCGGAGCAUGCGGAUUAAUUCGAUGCAACGCGUAGAACCUUACCUGGGUUUGACAUGGAUCGGGAGUGCUCAGAGAUGGGUGUGCCUCUUUUGGGGUCGGUUCACAGGUGGUGCAUGGCUGUCGUCAGCUCGUGUCGUGAGAUGUUGGGUUAAGUCCCGCAACGAGCGCAACCCUUGUUCACUGUUGCCAGCACGUUAUGGUGGGGACUCAGUGGAGACCGCCGGGGUCAACUCGGAGGAAGGUGGGGAUGACGUCAAGUCAUCAUGCCCCUUAUGUCCAGGGCUUCACGCAUGCUACAAUGGCUGGUACAGAGAGUGGCGAGCCUGUGAGGGUGAGCGAAUCUCGGAAAGCCGGUCUCAGUUCGGAUUGGGGUCUGCAACUCGACCUCAUGAAGUCGGAGUCGCUAGUAAUCGCAGAUCAGCAACGCUGCGGUGAAUACGUUCCCGGGGCU